Molecule: ribosomal RNA, 497 nt
Filed under: uncultured bacterium
Lineage: Bacteria
Description: partial 16S ribosomal RNA
Rfam family: Bacterial small subunit ribosomal RNA
Source: RNAcentral
GAUGAACGCUGGCGGCGUGCCUAAUACAUGCAAGUCGAGCGAACGGACGAGAAGCUUGCUUCUCUGAUGUUAGCGGCGGACGGGUGAGUAACACGUGGAUAACCUACCUAUAAGACUGGGAUAACUUCGGGAAACCGGAGCUAAUACCGGAUGAUAUUUUGAACCGCAUGGUUCAAAAGUGAAAGACGGUCUUGCUGUCACUUAUAGAUGGAUCCGCGCUGCAUUAGCUAGUUGGUAAGGUAACGGCUUACCAAGGCAACGAUGCAUAGCCGACCUGAGAGGGGGAUCGGCCACACGGGAACUGAGCCACGGUCCAGACUCCUACGGGAGGCAGCAGUAGGGAAUCUUCCGCAAUGGGCGAAAGCCUGACGGAGCAACGCCGCGUGAGUGAUGAAGGUCUUCGGAUCGUAAAACUCUGUUAUUAGGGAAGAACAUAUGUGUAAGUAACUGUGCACAUCUUGACGGUACCUAAUCAGAAAGCCACGGCUAACUACGUG